AAAAAAAAGCUGUGCUAAGUGCUAACUGUACAAGUUUUGUACUGAAGAAUAUCUCAAGUAUGCAUGUAUUAUGUAUAUGCCACUACCCCAAUUGCUUCAGCUUUUCUCUGAUUGCCCCCUGGUUUUUUAUCCUGUCAAACUACCUCUGGCUAACACUAAGAGGGGGCAAACUGAAGAGAGAGCCAUCUGUCACGGUCCCAACUCUCCUAUGGACUCAAGGUUGGUUAGUCCUGUCACACUACGCCGAGCCGCCGGAGGUAGUCGCCUUCGCCGCCGGUGUCCGGGCUCUGAGCCUGAUCUGGCAAAUCUCGGCGGGGCUUGGCGCGUCCUAGCGCUCGAUCCGCGCCCUGAAUGCCUCCAUCUCUGCGACGUACUCCCUGGCUCCCAUCCUCGCCACCCUCCUCCUCUCCUUGGCGGCGCCGGCGGCCGCGUCGAAGACCGCCUCCCACCCGUCCUCCCACGGGCCGGAGGCGUCGCAGAGCUCCACGUCCGUCCCGUUCCGGUGCUCGGUCCAGCUCCACCCGUACUCCAGCGCGUCGACGCUCCUCGCCGCGCACCCGGAGCGGCACGCUGGGCCGGCACUUGGUGCCGCUGAGCGGGCCGGGGCUCGCCAGCGACGCCACGGGGACGCCGUACCCGGCCACGGGCGGGAACACGUAGACGCGGUCGCUGAGGACGCAGAACGGGAGGAGGCGCUCGCGGCCCGCGACGCCAGCCACGUCGAGCUGCGCGCGGAAGGCCGCCUCGGAGUUGAGGCCGCGGUACCCCCAUACAGAACACACGACGAACUUGUUUUUGACGACCAUACAGAGCACACGAUAGACUUGAUACAACUAACUUAUCCGUUCAUAGAGCAUGAACGUAAAGACCAUAAGAUAUAUAGAUGCUUCCUAGGCCACAACACAAAAUAGCUCCUUCAGUUUUGUUGACGAGAGAUCAGGACAGAAGCCUUUCUUCAGUUUUGACCAUUUAGAAGAAAGCACGACAAGUAGGAUGAAGUACUAUUGGCAGCCGUGACUCAUUAUUCCAUAUCCUUCCUCUUCCUGCAAUAAAUAAAUAAAUAAAAAUGAACUAGAUGGAAGAUGUUCAAAUUAAACUUGCUUCUGUACUGCGACCAAGAGAAGGAUUAGCAAUGCACAGCCGAAGUAAGUUGUUUACUUAGGAAAGAAUUGCAAAAAAAACAGACAACAUUGAAGGUUAAAUGGUAGUAUACUUGACUUCCAAUUAACUGCUAGUAAUUUCCAACAGCAUAUAAAAGAAGGCAUAUAUAUAUUGGCAGGCAGCUCUUAUGUUCCAAUCAUAAGCUUCAAGGCUCAAAUGUUUAGUAGGCUGCAGGCUACGCUAGUAUUCUGCAGGUUGGAGAAAGAGGCUAUACUACAACAUAUGAGAUGCCAACAAUGCAAGAUUGAAGCCAUGGACACAAACUUUUGCAGCAAUAUUCAAAUAUGGAACCGGCCGGCAGAAUCAAAAUCUAUUGAGUUAUUUAUAAAAGGGCAUGCAGCAGCAAUAGUACAUACCUUGAUAAAUUGCAGAACCUGGGGAACUCACAAGCAGGGAAGGGCAAUGGAGAGGGAGCCAAGCACUUUGAUAUGACGAAGUCAAUGUCGACGUCGGGUUGACAGCACUUAUCGCCACGGCGAAGGAUCUCAUUCCCAUUCAUAUACAGAUAACAUGACACCAUGGUCUUGGUGCUCAUGUCAAUGGAGAGCACCGACAUCUUCUCGUAGGCUAAACCAAAAAACUCAAUGAAAAGGAAGUGCACCACAUGCGGCCUGUCAAUGUCAACUUGAGGGUGCAUGGGGAUGCCGCGUUGGUAGCAGUCAGGGAGGUCACCAGAGGUGACAGUGUAGUCCUCCUUCCACGCCAUGCUGCCGCCUGCUAACACGAGGGUGUGGCAGGUGAUGGUGAAGCCAGUGCCGGGUUUGAGCGCUUCAUAGUAAAGGCCAUCAUCGCGGGCGACCUUGACAAACUUGAGCAAACGGCCGUGGUCGACGACGGACAUGCCAGCGAUGGUGCCGCACAUGGUUAUUUUGCGGGUUCUGGUAAGAGAGGGCUUGUCCUCAGGGAACCAGAGGAAGGAGACGGUAGGGGCGAGCACUUUAUCGGACACGUCGCAGAAGAGGAUGCCUCGUUUGUAGUCGAUCCAGCACAGCCAUCGUUGGAAGGGGAUGAUGGCGGUGUUCUGCCACUGGGAGAGUUUCCAGAGAUCAUCAGCAGAGGGGUUGAGGAUUGGCACACGCAUGGACUCCCAAUUGCCGCCAAGCUGAUCGGAGGAGCGCAGCAAGCAGAUGUCAGCGAAGGCCUUGAUGCGGCUGCGGCCAAUGGUGGGUACGCAAAGAUUGAGCUGUGCCACCACGAACUCCUCUUUGUCUCCGCACCAUAGGCCCAAGGAAUGCAUAUUCAGCAGGCGGGGAGUAGCACUGGAAGAUCGACGACGAGGUAGGCGGUGAUCGCGGCGGGAAUAAUCAAACUUGGUGUCGGUACAAUGGGGGAGCAAUCUAAGCGAGGAUGAUGAGGAAGGGUUGUUCUCGUCGGCUCUGAAGAUGAAGAAGUUGUGAAUUGCAGGUUGAUCAGACAUCGGGGAGAUGACGACGAGCAGGGCAAGAUGGCGGUGGGUCUUCAGCAUGGUUAAGGGCCUCGCCUUGCGGGGACCCGGGACGCCCGGCAGCUGCGCGUAGAGGCGGGAGAUGAGCGGGGGCUCGGCGAGGGAGAAGGCGAUGCGGAAGUCGGCGCCCCAGGAGGUGGUGCCGGACGCCCUGAUGGGCGCAUGGGUCUCGUCCGGGAAGGACUCGUCGUCGUCCCUGCGGAAGACGUAGGGCUCCAGAAGCACCCAGUUGGGGAACCCCCCGGCGGCGGCGGCGGCGGCGGCGGCGGCGGACAUGGCGACCUUGAGACAGCAGCAGAUUGGGAAAUUAAAUUAGAUGAUCGGCGGACAUGGCGACCUCUGUGAGGAUAGAUCGGGGGAUUUGUAAGGUGAUGAGGUGCCUUACCGACGAAGACGCUGGAGACCCGCGACCGGCAAGGAGAGGCGGCGGCGGAGGCGGCGAGAGGUCAGGUGUGCGGGAGCGGCGAAGCGGCGGCUUCCUCCUAUGUAUCUAUCGGUCGGUUACCCACCUAUCGAAAGAAAUCGAAUGGGCCAAAUUCGUUUACUGGUGGCCCAAAUUGUUGACCCAUGCACAACAUGUCGCAUGCCGCUGAUGAUGGGCUACUUAUUUGUGUACGAGGUUGUAUGCAGUUUGGGCCAUUGGACUAGGAGUGGGCCACCCACCGAGCCAGCAUCCCGUGUGGCUUGUGAGCCGAGGCGCUGGUACCCUGCUGAUAGCCACGGUCAUUUACUGAACCCGUCCAUAUGCGCGAGCUAGCGGCGCGACGGAGCACGAGCUGCGCGGUCGCCUGUCACCGUCCGUAUGGACUCAAGGUUGGUUAGUCCUGUCACCGUCCGACAACAGACUACGCCGAGCCGCCGGAGGUAGUCGCCUUCGCCGCCGGUGUCCGGGCUAUGAGCCCGAUCCGGCAAAUCUCGGCGGGGCUUGGCGCGUCCCAGCGCUCGGUCCGCGCCCUGAACGCCUCCAUCUCCGCGACGCACUCCCUGGCUCCCAUCCUCGCCACCCUCCUCCUCUCCUUGCCGGCGCCGGCGCCGGCGGCCGCGUCGAAGACCGCCUCCCACCCGUCCUCCCACGGGCCGGAGGCGUCGCAGAUCUCCACGUCCGUCCCGUUCCGGUGCUCGAUCCAGCUCCACCCGCUCUCCAGCGCGUCGACGCUCCUCGCCGCGCACCCGGCGCGGCACGCCGGGCGGCACGGCCGGCACUUGGCGCCGCUGAGUGGGCCGGGGCUCGCCAGCGACGCCACGGGGACGCCGUACCCGGCCACGGGCGGGAACGCGUAGACGCGGUCGCUGAGCACGCAGAACGGGAGGCGGCGCUCGCGCCCCGCGACGCCGGCCACGUCGAGCUGCGCGCGGAAGGCCGCCUCGGAGUUGAGGUUGCGGUACCCCGCGGCGGCGAGGCGGGGGAGCAUGGAGAGGCGGGAGAGCGCGGCCUCCGUGGCAUGCCGGCCGCCGAAGCCCAGGCGGUCGUUGAGGCCGCCGAAGCGGGAGCCCUCCGGGACGGCGUAGUAGUGGGCGUCGUCGUUUGCGGUGGUGGCGUUGGCGGCGGGGAGGAGGUCGGCGAGGUGGAGCGGCGCGGACCAGAAGCCGUCGACGCGGGUGCGGAGGACGGCGGCGUAGGUGAAGUUGCCGCGGGACUCGCGGUCGCGGAUGAGGUCCAGGCAGCCCUCCACCAGCCGGAAGUACUGCAGCAAGCCCUGCACCAUUUUUGCAGCGACUCAUCAGCUGAUGAACCGAAUGCUUGUUUGUGUAAAAGCAGGAGCAGUAAUAAUCCAGAUGCAUGCAUGGUUCAGGCAAGUGAAAAAAGAAAUGCAAAGUAAUCACGGUUAAACAGCGAGAGAAGUGGCGGGUCUAAGAUUUGUAAUCUGGCCUUAAAAGAUUCAUGAAUUGAUCAUCGAAAUUCAUGUGUGUAACCAACUAAAUAUGUACAGUUUUCUUUUUUUUAAAAAAACAAAAAGAAGAAGAAGAAGUGAGAUGUACUCAACAGUAGUCCACUUUGUUUUGCAGAAUUUUGUUUGGAAUUGGAUUGGAUGCUUUGUGUUUGCUUCCUUUUUAUUCAUUGAGCUUUUCCCUUGAGCAUGAAGACGCACUGCUCGAAUUUAGCAACUACUUUAAUCUGGAGAGACGGACUAGAAAAGCAUCUAUUCUGAGUGGUAGUACUACGUCGUAUCGGCUUUCUUGCACUGGGGACACUGCAAGCAGAGAAGCAUCUUCUGUAGGAUUGUCAGCUUUCACGUGCGGAUCGUACCGGGGCAGGAAUCUGAUCAUAAAGCAGGCAAAUUCCACAAAAUCCUAUCGGGACCUGACUGAUUCCUACGAAAUUUUAACAAAAAGAAGAAAAGGACGUUGAAAGGAGUACCGUGUAGCUGCUGCCUCUGCACCUGCAAUGCCGUGUGCUCGUUGUUCUGCACGUAGCAUUUUGACACGGACCGUCUUGACUGGGAAUGGGCGGCUGGCGUGUACACCGUAGCAGGCCGGGCAGGACAGGACACGGCGACAUUUUCGGAUUUUGACGUCGUGAGACGUAGACAUAUAGUAGAGCUAGCUAUUUAGGUCAGGUCGACCGACCUAAGUACUUGCGUAGUCGCAUCCAAGAACGAUCGAGAUCGAAAUGGCGCCGUCGUCGUCGUCGGCUCCGAUCCUCGUCAGCAGCCAUCAUCUUCUUCUUCAGUUCCCGGCGAGGGACGUCACCUACCUGGCCUGCCGCUUUCAAGCUCCAACCUAGCUAGAUUGCUCGAGAAGCUGUGUGCGUGCGUGUGUUAAUCUUCAAUCUCUUGUACCAAAAGGGCAACUAAGCUUUCAUCUGAUGAGACUAUGAGAGGUAGUUUUCCCUUUUGAGCAGGCACAGCCUAGUCGGCACCUCCUUUUUAUCGAUCCCUUUUGUGAUCUUUAGCAGCUGCCGUAAAUAAAGCACGCGCCAACCGUGAUGCAUCUACCCAUACUGCCGCGGCGGUUGAUGGUAGGGCGAUGGCAAACUGACCUGGAUGCCGUUGGGCGAGUUGGCGGCGGUGAGCACCUGCGCGCGGUCCGGCGUCUCCUCGACGUGCUCGGGGCGGAACACGCGCACGGUGGCGAGGUUGACCGUGGCGGGGGCGGCGCGCGCGAGGAGGGAGAGCUUGUAGGCGUCGGCGUCCAGCGGGCUGUGCAGGAACACGUCCACCGCGGCGGCGGAGGCGCCCGAUUGGUUCUGGUGGAGUACGUGGCGCGCGAUGGAGGGGCCGGUGAGCUCGAACCGGCGCGCGCCGCCGACGAGGCACACGGCGACCCGGGGAGCGGGCGGGGAUGAGGGGGGUCUGGAGGCGACGACGGUGGUGCGGGGGCGAGGCAGGGUUGAAGCAGGCACGGCGGCGAGGAGGAGCUGGAGGCGGAGCGUGGAGGGGAAGGAGAGCGCGGCGGCGAGGAAGAGGAGGAGCGGCGCCAGCACGGCGGCCAGGCGGCGGCCGCGGCGGGAGGGGAGGAGGCCGGGCGACGGCGGCGCGUCCGCGGCGGCCUUGCCCGGCUGCUUCAUGGCCGACACGACACGACACGCUAAGCAGGACGUACGUGGUCGGCGGGCACGCUGCUUGCUAGCGCGCGGCUAGGCUACUACGCCACACGGUGAUCACCGAGCAGUUGCCGCGCGCUCUCAUGGCGUGCGUGCGUGGUGGCGAGGGAGGAAGGAGAGGUAGGGGAGAGGUUACGAUGGAUGGGGACGCCGACGUGGGGGGUGGUGGACUGGGCCGGCGGGUGGUGCCGCGCGCGUUGUCCCGGCUGCUGCCGUGGCGGUUGCGAGCGAGGGAGGUCUCGUUUCACUCUUGGAGGGAAGAGGGGGAUGGUGCCUAGAUGAGGGGGGUCGAGGGGAUGGAUGACUUGGCCCAAUCCCAUAUUCCCAUCCCCUGCCGGGCUUUGCCACGACUCGUAACCAUCCUCGGUCGCUAAACCUGUUCUCUCCCAUGGUCAUGGACGUCCCAACAAGUAUACGUGUGCGUCUCGUACUGCUUUGAUCUCACGAGCAUCACGCCUUGGUAAAACUCUGCGAUUUUUAGCAUGCUUGCUUUUACGGAGUAUGUAUAUUUCUGUUUCAGGCAACUUUGUUCUUUUCUUUUUUUUAAAAAAAAAGACAUUUACUCGGCACCAGCGGUGAAGCUUUGGUCUGACCAUGACCAAGGCGCAAGCUUUGAGGUCGUGUUGUGCACUCCAUCUACCAAACUCUAAACGGAACAUGGUUUUUUUUUUUCGUCGGUAGCUGUGAAGCGUUUAGUCAGACGUCAGAGCUCCACGCCUCCACCAAGAUAAUGUUUCACAACUACAAGAAAUAAAAAAAUGUUGGUCUCAUCUCCCCUGCUCGGCUGCCGCAAACCCAACCCAAAGUAGGAUACGAAUUCCAUUAGUCAAUAGUAAUUGGUUGCAUGGAAAGUUCCAAGAUUACCGCUGGUUUCGGAGACAGCCCAUGAAUGCAAAGCAUGCAUGCUCUGAACAAGUCAGCCAUGCAACAUCUUGGACGCCCACGUAGCUGUUAAUUUUUUUUUCUUUUAAGCACCGGCGAACAGUUGGUUGAAGGGAUCUUUGGGAUAACGUAAUGAACACAUUGCAUAGUACAGUAUAUAAUAGUAUACAUGCCAUGUAUAGGGGGAGGAGUAUACACGCGCGUCGUGCGUUGUUCAUGCUCGUGCACGAAACAAAGAUCAACUCCAGGCUCCAUAUCGCUUGUUAAUUGGUUGAUGAUUCCAGCGAGGUGAUCUGCAACUACUUGCAGAUGAUUUGUUCAGUAAUGUAAUGGACCGGUGCAUGAUCGAGCUUUGUUAUUUUUUCCGACCUCUUAUUUGUUUCUUCUGAACUUUUUACACAACCCAACUCGUUAAUUUCUUCCACGGCGAUGACGAUCCCUCUUCUUAAUAUUUCUGGAAGCUGGUCUCUCUGUCAUCAUGAUAUAAUCUUUUUUUUAUGAUCGAUGACGGACCACCUCGUGGCCCAAAUCACAAGGACCGGCUAGCUCCCGGGCGGGGGACGGUCGCCUCCCUGAGCUGCGCACGGAAGGCCACCACGAAGUUGAACCAUUGGGGACGAGCUGGGUGGUCCAGUAGCCGUCGAGGCAUGUGCUGAUGAUCCAGGUCCGCGCCGCCGUCCAGCGCGGUCUCAUGGCCGCCGUGCACGCCCGGAACACGAGCGGCUCCUGCCGCGCGCCCGUCCGGCAGCGGGAACGCCGUCCGUUGAUAGCGCCGCCGCCGCCGAGCGCGUAUUGUGCAAGGGCUCCAGGAACUCGCGCUCGGAAGUUCCCGUCGACGAUCCCAGCAGCGCUUAGACUCUCCUGGUCGUUGGAUCUGCCUCGUGCGGUCUAGAUCGGCCUGAGUAGUUGCAGCAGGCGGCGACUAAGUCUCCACGGUACGUCUUCGCGCGCUGUGCCGCCGUCCGCCUUGUGCCCUUGUCGAUGCGCUGCGCCGGGCUCCAUCUCCAUCCAGAUCCAGCGAGGCGUCGCGCCGCCCGGCCAGGAACACGAAGGCAUCGCCGUGCCGGCUGCAGAGCUUCUCGUUGCCAGCAUACGGCUCCUACGCGUUCGCCGCCAUGGAACGCUUAGAUCGAUCCAUCAUCCCCAAUCCAAUCUAGUCCAACCUAGAACGCUGAUCGAAGAAUGGUUUUUUGUUCAGUUGGUGUGCCACCAUGCGUCGUAGCUUCCAAGAAACCCAGCGCCUGCUGUGCUCACUACCAAGUACCCAAACCAUGCUUUUGACAGUGACGGCACAAAAGAGAGUAGUACUACCUGCAGGCAGGGCUCGCAAAAUCAGUCAGGCGUCAAUGUUUUCAGGAAAAAAAAAAGAAGAAGAAAGGAUCGACCAAUCGAGGAGGCGUAAACUGAGCAGAAAGGAAGCUAGAUGGGGACGCAUGUCAGAUCGACCGAGAUGAGAUCAAUGUUGGUGUGAUGGGGCAACAGCCAGCAGCUGAACUGCCGCCCUUUUCUUCCCUCCAUCCAUGUCCAAAAAAGAAUGUGCAUCCAUUGGCAGCAACCUAGGUACAGCAAAGACCGAUGUGAUGCCUCAUCUGAUAUAUGAUUAUGUGCCGACCAAGACCAACACUGACCACCCACCCUUUAAUUUCUUGCAAACAGGCAUGAUAAAUUGACAUGUUACUGCCAGUCUAUCACACAAAAGCAAAACUGCUUGUUGGUAGGUUCACACGUGAAUUUUUGCAAACUUUUGAACUCGCCAAAGCAAGACUUGUUGGCAUGUUCACUGUGUUCCAACUCAGAAAAUAUAAAAAAUUCAACACAUGAUGAUGGUCACGUAUGCAUGUGCCACUGCAUUCUCUAUCCAUAUCAGAUACAAACUCUAGUGCUAACUGUACAAAUUUUGUACAGAAGAAUAUCUCAAGUAUGCAUAUAUUAUGUAUAUAUAUAUAUAUGCCUCUAUCCCAAUUGAUCCAGCUUUUCUCUGAUUGCCCCCUGGUUUUUUAUCCUGUCAAACUACCUCUGGCUAACACUAAGAGGGGGCAAACUGAAAAGAGAGCCAACUGUCACGGUCCCAACUCUCCUAUGGACUCAAGGUUGGUUAGUCCUGUCACCGUCCGACAACAGACUACGCCGAGCCGCCGGAGGUAGUCGCCUUCGCCGCCGGUGUCCGGGCUCUGAGCCCGAUCCGGCAAAUCUCGGCGGGGCUUGGCGCGUCCCAGCGC
Molecule: long non-coding RNA, 9250 nt
Filed under: Setaria italica (foxtail millet)
Lineage: Eukaryota; Viridiplantae; Streptophyta; Magnoliopsida; Poales; Poaceae
Description: long non-coding RNA (SITA_LNC000212)
Source: RNAcentral